GACGAACGCUGGCGGCGUGCUUAACACAUGCAAGUCGAACGAAGAGCGAUGGAAGCUUGCUUCUAUCAAUCUUAGUGGCGAACGGGUGAGUAACGCGUAAUCAACCUGCCCUUCAGAGGGGGACAACAGUUGGAAACGACUGCUAAUACCGCAUACGAUCUGACCUCGGCAUCGAGGAUAGAUGAAAGGUGGCCUCUAUUUAUAAGCUAUCACUGAAGGAGGGGAUUGCGUCUGAUUAGCUAGUUGGAGGGGUAACGGCCCACCAAGGCGAUGAUCAGUAGCCGGGCUGAGAGGAUGAACGGCCACAUUGGGACUGAGACACGGCCCAGACUCCUACGGGAGGCAGCAGUGGGGAAUCUUCCGCAAUGGACGAAAGUCUGACGGAGCAACGCCGCGGGAGUGAUGACGGCCUUCGGGUUGUAAAGCUCUGUUAAUCGGGACGAAAGGCCUUCUUGCGAAUAGUUAGAAGGAUUGACGGUACCGGAAGAGAAAGCCACGGCUAACUACGUG
Molecule: ribosomal RNA, 510 nt
Filed under: uncultured bacterium
Lineage: Bacteria
Description: partial 16S ribosomal RNA
Rfam family: Bacterial small subunit ribosomal RNA
Source: RNAcentral